AUUAUAAAAUGAAAUUUAUUCCUGGUUGAAAAAGGCCAUAUACAAUUAAAGACAGAAGACCUAUAAGUUUUUAAAACCUCCGCCCCCUGGGGGGGGGGGGAUUUGGUUGGGGCACCAAAAGAAUAAAAACUAAAAUAAUAAUAGAGAUAUACCUCUAUAUGAUUAGCCCUAAACUAUAAGCAGUUACUGUAGGGAUAACGGUAAUAUUUCCUAAGAGUACGCAUCAACGGAAAUGAUUGGCACCUCGAUGUUGGCUUAGGGUGUCUAUUUCAUGUAGAAGUGAAAUAAGAAGGUUUGUUCACCCUUAAUCCCGCUGAGCGG
This 321-nucleotide ribosomal RNA is filed under the name Syllis gracilis complex lineage 3 PAC-2017. Its description in RNAcentral is "partial 16S ribosomal RNA". The record is from RNAcentral. Lineage: Eukaryota; Metazoa; Annelida; Polychaeta; Phyllodocida; Syllidae.